Molecule: ribosomal RNA, 929 nt
Filed under: uncultured Gammaproteobacteria bacterium
Lineage: Bacteria; Pseudomonadati; Pseudomonadota; Gammaproteobacteria
Description: bacterial SSU rRNA
Rfam family: Bacterial small subunit ribosomal RNA
Source: RNAcentral
GCAAGUCGAACGAUGAUAACUAGCUUGCUAGUUAGAUUAGUGGCGGACGGGUGAGUAAUGUAUAGGAAUCUGCCUAGUAGUGGGGGACAACGUAUGGAAACGUACGCUAAUACCGCAUACGCCCUUCGGGGGAAAGCGGGGGAUCUUCGGACCUCGCGCUAUUAGAUGAGCCUAUAUCCAAUUAGCUAGAUGGUGGGGUAAGAGCCUACCAUGGCGACGAUUGGUAGCUGGUUUGAGAGGAUGAUCAGCCACAUCGGGACUGAGACACGGCCCGAACUCCUACGGGAGGCAGCAGUGGGGAAUAUUGGACAAUGAGCGCAAGCUUGAUCCAGCAAUACCGCGUGUGUGAAGAAGGCCCUAGGGUUGUAAAGCACUUUUAUCAGAGAAGAAAAAGCGUUGUUUAAUAGAUGACGCCUUGACGGUAUCUGAAGAAUAAGCACCGGCUAACUCCGUGCCAGCAGCCGCGGUAAUACGGAGGGUGCAAGCGUUAAUCAGAAUUACUGGGCGUAAAGGGUUCGUAGGCGGUUACUUAAGUCAGAUGUGAAAGCCCCGGGCUUAACCUGGGAACUGCAUUUGAUACUGGGUAACUAGAAUGUGUUAGAGGAAGGCGGAAUUCCCGGUGUGGCAGUGAAAUGCGUAGAUAUCGGGAGGAACACCAGUUGCGAAGGCGGCCUUCUGGGACAACAUUGACGCUGAGGAACGAAAGCGUGGGUAGCAAACGGGAUUAGAUACCCCGGUAGUCCACGCUGUANACGAUGAGAACUAGAUGUCAGGGACGUACGUCUUUGGUACCGCAGCUAACGCAUUAAGUUCUCCACCUGGGAAGUACGCGCGCAAGCGUGAAACUCAAAGGAAUUGACGGGGGCCCGCACAAGCGGUGGAGCAUGUGGUUUAAUUCGAUGCAACGCGAAGAACCUUACCAUCCCUUG